RNAcentral lists this ribosomal RNA (559 nucleotides) under Stutzerimonas stutzeri. RNAcentral describes it as "bacterial SSU rRNA". It matches the Rfam family "Bacterial small subunit ribosomal RNA", at positions 79 to 634 of the family's 1533-position model. Lineage: Bacteria; Pseudomonadati; Pseudomonadota; Gammaproteobacteria; Pseudomonadales; Pseudomonadaceae. The record is from RNAcentral.
CUUGCUCCAUGAUUCAGCGGCGGACGGGUGAGUAAUGCCUAGGAAUCUGCCUGGUAGUGGGGGACAACGUUUCGAAAGGAACGCUAAUACCGCAUACGUCCUACGGGAGAAAGUGGGGGAUCUUCGGACCUCACGCUAUCAGAUGAGCCUAGGUCGGAUUAGCUAGUUGGUGAGGUAAAGGCUCACCAAGGCGACGAUCCGUAACUGGUCUGAGAGGAUGAUCAGUCACACUGGAACUGAGACACGGUCCAGACUCCUACGGGAGGCAGCAGUGGGGAAUAUUGGACAAUGGGCGAAAGCCUGAUCCAGCCAUGCCGCGUGUGUGAAGAAGGUCUUCGGAUUGUAAAGCACUUUAAGUUGGGAGGAAGGGCAGUAAGUUAAUACCUUGCUGUUUUGACGUUACCAACAGAAUAAGCACCGGCUAACUUCGUGCCAGCAGCCGCGGUAAUACGAAGGGUGCAAGCGUUAAUCGGAAUUACUGGGCGUAAAGCGCGCGUAGGUGGUUCGUUAAGUUGGAUGUGAAAGCCCCGGGCUCAACCUGGGAACUGCAUCCAAAACU